Molecule: ribosomal RNA, 238 nt
Filed under: uncultured bacterium
Lineage: Bacteria
Description: partial 16S ribosomal RNA
Rfam family: Bacterial small subunit ribosomal RNA
Source: RNAcentral
CCGGCGCACGGGUGAGUAACGCGUAUCCAACCUGCCCACCACUUGGGAUAACCUUGCGAAAGUAAGACUAAUACCCAAUGAUAUCUCUAGAAGACAUCUGAAAGAGAUUAAAGAUUCAUCGGUGAUGGAUGGGGAUGCGUCUGAUUAGCUUGUUGGCGGGGUAACGGCCCACCAAGGCAACGAUCAGUAGGGGUUCUGAGAGGAAGGUCCCCCACAUUGGAACUGAGACACGGUCCAA